Molecule: ribosomal RNA, 2184 nt
Filed under: human gut metagenome
Description: bacterial LSU rRNA
Rfam family: Bacterial large subunit ribosomal RNA
Source: RNAcentral
CCAAGUAGCGGCGAGCGAACGGGGAAGAGCCCAAACCGCGCGGAUUCGUCCGUACGGGGUUGCAGGGCCGGAAUGACCGAUUCACGCGUAACCAGAAGAAGUGAGCAGGAAAGCUCCGCCAGAGAGGGUGACAGUCCCGUAUUCGAAAGUGAGAGUGACGGUUCCGGUACCUGAGUACUGCGAGACACGUGAAAUCUCGUGGGAAUCCGGGAGGACCAUCUCCUAAGGCUAAAUACUAACUGACGACCGAUAGUGUACCAGUACCGUGAGGGAAAGGUGAAAAGAACCCCUGUCAGGGGAGUGAAAGAGAAUCUGAAACCUGGUGCUUACAAGCUGUGGGAGCCGUACUUGUACGGUGACCAUGUGCCUUUUGCAUAAUGAGUCAGCGAGUUAAUCUGUACAGCAAGGUUAAGCGUAAGUGAAGCCGCAGCGAAAGCGAGUCCGAACAGGGCCACAGUUGUGCGGAUUAGACCCGAAACCGGGUGAUCUAUCCAUGAGCAGGUUGAAGCAAGGGUAAAGCCUUGUGGAGGACCGAACCAGUUCUGGCUGAAAACAGUUUGGAUGACUUGUGGAUAGGGGUGAAAGGCCAAUCAAACCCGGUGAUAGCUGGUUCUCCCCGAAAUAUAUUGAGGUAUAGCCUUGCGGAUUGUCUUAUGGAGGUAAAGCUCUGACAGAACUAGGGGUCCUAUCCGACUACCGAAUUCUUUCAAACUCUGAAUACCAUUAAGAUUUACCGCAGGAGUCAGACGGCGGGUGCUAAGGUUCGUCGUCAAAAGGGCAACAGCCCAGACCGACAGCUAAGGCCUCCAAAUGCAUGCUCAGUGGUUAAGGUGGUGGCGUUGUGCAGACACCCAGGACGUUGGCUUAGAAGCAGCCAUCGUUUAAAGAAAGCGUAAUAGCUCACUGGUUCAAUGGCGCUGCGCCGAAAAUGUAACGGGGCUAAGCAUGCUGCCGAAGCUUCGGAUUUGUCUCUGACAACUGGUAGGGGAGCGUUCUCUGCGGGCUGAAGCGGAACCGAAAGGUUUCGUGGACUGCAGAGAAGUGAUUAUGCUGACAUGAGUAACGAUAAAAUAUGUGAAAAACAUAUUCGCCGUAAAUCCAAGGUUUCCUGGGUAAAGGUAAUCUUCCCAGGGUUAGUCGGACCCUAAGGCCAGGCUGAAAGGCGUAGCUGAUGGGAAACGGGUUAAUAAUCCUGUACUUGUGCGAUUGUGCGAAGAAGGGACGCAGGAUGGUAGACAGGCCGGUUUUUGGAAUCCGGUGCAAGUGCGUAGGCGUGCUCCGCAGGCAAAUCCGCGGAGAUGAGCCGAGACACGAGUCCGUGGGCGUAAGCCCUGAAGCUGUUGAGCCACGGCUGCCAAGAAAAGCUUCUAAGUUUAGAUCGCGCGAACCGUACCGCAAACCAACUCAGGUGGAUGGGAUGAAUAAUCCAAGGCGCUCGAGAGAACUCUGGCCAAGGAACUCGGCAAAUUGACCCCGUACCUUCGGAAUAAGGGGUGCUCCCCAUGGUGAGACAAAUACUUGUUCAGCCUCAGGGAGCCGCAGAGAAAUGGUGGUGGCGACUGUUUACUAAAAACAUAGGUCUGUGCGAAGUCCUACAGACGACGUAUACGGACUGACGCCUGCCCGGUGCCGGAAGGUUAAAAGGAGGAGUCAGCGCAAGCGAAGCUCCGAUUUGAAGCCCCGGUAAACGGCGGCCGUAACUAUAACGGUCCUAAGGUAGCGAAAUUCCUUGUCGGGCAAGUUCCGACCUGCACGAAUGGCGUAACGAUCUCCACGCUGUCUCGGCCAGAGACUCGGUGAAAUUGAAGUCGCGGUGAAAAUGCCGUGUACCCGCAGAAAGACGGAAAGACCCUGUGCACCUUUACUAUAGCUUGACAUUGGGUUUUGAACCUGCAUGUGUAGGAUAGGUGGGAGGCUGUGAAAGCUGUACGCCAGUAUGGCCGGAGCCACCCGUGAAAUACCACCCUUGUUUGUUCAGGACCCUAACUCGCAGCUGUAAUCCAGCGCGAAGACAGUGUCUGGUGGGUAGUUUGACUGGGGCGGUCGCCUCCUAAAGAGUAACGGAGGCAUGCAAAGGUUCCCUCAGGCUGAUUGGAAACCAGCCGUUGAGUGCAAGCGCAUAAGGGAGCUUGACUGCAAGAGAGACAUCUCGAGCAGGUACGAAAGUAGGCGUUAGUGAUCCGG